UCAAUUGUUACAGGACUGUAUAGGUGCCAUAGAUGGAACACACAUCGAAGCUUGGGUGCCUACCACACAAGAAACAUCAUAUCGUGGAAGGAAGGCUACCAAAACUCAAAAUGUGAUGGCAGCAUGUUCAUUUGACAUGAAAUUCACAUUUGUUUAUCCUGGUUGGGAAGGUAGUGCCCAUGAUUCACGGGUGUUCUUAACUGCGGUUACAAAUCCUAAUCGUAACUUUCCGCACCCACUGAUCAGUAAGUACUACACUUGAAUGUUAUUUUGUUAUAGUAGAUUAUUGUACGCGCAUGUAUGUCUCACUAAAUUUACUUAUGUUUAGACAAAUAUUAUGUGGUGGAUUCUGGAUACACCAACAUGCUUGGGUACCUAGCUCCAUAUCGUGGUGAAAGGUAUCAUUUGAAUCAAUACAAUGGUCCCAAUCCUGUCUAUAACUCACAUAGGGAGUUGUUCAAUCAUAGACACUCGUCGUUAAGAAAUGUUAUUGAAAGAUGUUUUGGGGUAUUGAAGAGACGAUUCUUGAGCCUUAAAAGUAUGCCCUCGUACAAGCCAGUGAGGCAACCUUCAAUUGUGACAGCUUGUUGUGUUGUUCACAACUGGAUCAUAAUUCAUCGUCAAAGAGACUUGUAUUUUGAUUCUUCGGAUGAUGAUGACGAUGAGGAAGAGGAUGGUGGAGAUAUUGAAGUCGUAAACAUGUCCCGUGGCAGUUUACAGCAAAUGGCCAAUAGGCGUGAUAAAAUUGCAACUCAAUUAUGGAAUGCACACAAUUGGUAGGCAUGGCUGGAAAAAGUUUCUAUUGUGUUGUUUUUAUUUGAAAAGUCCCUGGAAGAAGUUCCUAUGAUGCAUGGAAGGUGUAUGUGGAGCAUCAGUCCCUUUGCUCUUAAAUGUGCAAUCAAACAUGGAUAGUCGUGGUGGUUCAAAUAAGUGCAUUAACAUUGCUUGUUUCUCACCUGGAGGAGUAAUGGCAUUUCUAAUUUAGUAGGUUGUCAUAUUUUUUUUUUCCAACCACUUUCGUUCGGAGCAUGUAAUGGUACUAAUAUUUGCUGGUGUUGGAGUGUUUAGGAAUGGUUUUGUUAUAGUAAUGUUGUAAUAGCUUUAAACUCCGAAUUUAAUUUUGCUUAUGUUGAACCGUUGGGACUAUGGAAUUAAUUUGCUUUCUUUAUGCAAUGAAUAUGUAGCUGAUCUUAUUUGAUAUUUGGGCAUUCGUAUGUGGGAUGCCAAG
This is an RNA transcript of Rhododendron vialii, 1228 nucleotides long. RefSeq lists it as uncharacterized. NCBI's taxonomy places the organism in Eukaryota, Viridiplantae, Streptophyta, Magnoliopsida, Ericales, Ericaceae. The record is from RefSeq and is a predicted model, not a curated record. The transcript has 2 exons.